This 438-nucleotide ribosomal RNA is filed under the name uncultured bacterium. RNAcentral describes it as "bacterial SSU rRNA". It matches the Rfam family "Bacterial small subunit ribosomal RNA", at positions 339 to 794 of the family's 1533-position model. The record is from RNAcentral.
CUACGGGAGGCAGCAGUGGGGAAUCUUGGACAAUGGGCGCAAGCCUGAUCCAGCCAUGCCGCGUGGAUGAUGAAGGCCUUAGGGUUGUAAAAUCCUUUCACCGGGGACGAUAAUGACGGUACCCGGAGAAGAAGCCCCGGCUAACUUCGUGCCAGCAGCCGCGGUAAUACGAAGGGGGCUAGCGUUGCUCGGAAUUACUGGGCGUAAAGCGCGCGUAGGCGGAUUGAUUAGUCAGAGGUGAAAUCCCAGGGCUCAACCCUGGAACUGCCUUUGAUACUGUCAGUCUGGAGCAAGGUAGAGGCGAGUGGAAUUCCGAGUGUAGAGGUGAAAUUCGUAGAUAUUCGGAGGAACACCAGUGGCGAAGGCGACUCGCUGGACCUUUGCUGACGCUGAGGCGCGAAAGCGUGGGGAGCAAACAGGAUUAGAUACCCUGGUAGG